CCCUGGGUGGUGCAGAUCGUUAUCACGCUCAGCUGCUAACUGGGAGGUUGGUGGUUUGAGUCCACCCAGGGU
RNAcentral lists this transfer RNA (72 nucleotides) under Loxodonta africana (African savanna elephant). It matches the Rfam family "tRNA". From Rfam's summary of the family: Transfer RNA (tRNA) molecules are approximately 80 nucleotides in length. Their secondary structure includes four short double-helical elements and three loops (D, anti-codon, and T loops). Further hydrogen bonds mediate the characteristic L-shaped molecular structure. tRNAs have two regions of fundamental functional importance: the anti-codon, which is responsible for specific mRNA codon recognition, and the 3' end, to which the tRNAs corresponding amino acid is attached (by aminoacyl-tRNA synthetases). tRNAs cope with the degeneracy of the genetic code in two manners: having more than one tRNA (with a specific anti-codon) for a particular amino acid; and 'wobble' base-pairing, i.e. permitting non-standard base-pairing at the 3rd anti-codon position. Lineage: Eukaryota; Metazoa; Chordata; Mammalia; Proboscidea; Elephantidae. The record is from Rfam by way of RNAcentral.